AUGUUAUACACAAAAAACCCCAGCAGAAGACAGGAGCCCCAUCUAUCACAGCUGGUGAAAUUGCUGCUCCUCAGCAAACUGGGAUCGGCGGGUAUCGCUGGAGCCCUCAGCGAGGGGGAUCUCUCGGGAGCUGACGGAAGCUCAGGCUGAGCUGGUGGAGGGCAAGCAGUGCUGUUUGGUGGAGAGACCAGCACCAAUGGGUUACCUCUGUGGCAAAGCAACAGAAGUGCUGGGCAUCCAGUGAUUUCAUGCCGUGCCUGCAGGGAUUGCCAGAGAAGAGGUUUCACCACAUGCUCGAGGUAAAGAGGAGCCCUCAAUCCACCCCUACAGCCACUGCUGCUCGCCCCCCAGCCCCCUGCCUUUCUGCAGCAAACUGGCACCCUUUUUUAUAAGUUCAGGGUAUGGAAUAGAAAGGAGGCUGGGAAGGAGCAGAGCUAAUGGAGCACAGCAGGAAAAGUGCUCGCAAGUUGCCAAGUGACAGCCUCUAGCAGAGCCUCUGAGAUGUCCGACCCAAACCUCUGAGGCUUGCCAAGGGCUGCUGCCAGCAGCUGCUGC
This 555-nucleotide long non-coding RNA is filed under the name Calidris pugnax (ruff). RNAcentral describes it as "lncRNA (ENSCPUG00000016180.1)". The record is from RNAcentral. Lineage: Eukaryota; Metazoa; Chordata; Aves; Charadriiformes; Scolopacidae.